Molecule: ribosomal RNA, 467 nt
Filed under: uncultured bacterium
Lineage: Bacteria
Description: partial 16S ribosomal RNA
Rfam family: Bacterial small subunit ribosomal RNA
Source: RNAcentral
GACGAACGCUGGCGGCGUGCUUAACACAUGCAAGUCGAACGGAAAGGCCCUGCUUUUGUGGGGUGCUCGAGUGGCGAACGGGUGAGUAACACGUGAGUAACCUGCCCUUGACUUUGGGAUAACUUCAGGAAACUGGGGCUAAUACCGGAUAGGAGCUCCUGCUGCAUGGUGGGGGUGGGAAAGUUUCGGCGGUUGGGGAUGGACUCGCGGCUUAUCAGCUUGUUGGUGGGGUAGUGGCUUACCAAGGCUUUGACGGGUAGCCGGCCUGAGGGGGUGACCCGCCCCAUUGGGACUGGGGUACGGCCCAGACUCCUUCGGGCGGAAGGGGUGGGGAAAAUUGCACAAUGGGCGGAAGCCUGAAGCAGCAACGCCGCGUGCGAGAAGACGGCCUUCGGGUAGUAAACCGCUUUCGCCUGUGACGAAGCGUGAGUGACGGUAAUAGGUAAAGAAGCACCGGCUAACUACGU